UACAGGGGGCGCAAGCGUUAUCCGGAAUGAUUGGGCGUAAAGCGUCUGUAGGUUGUAGAUGAAGUCUGCUGUUAAAUUCCAGGGCUUAACCUUGGACAAGCAGUAGAGUACUCAUUUGCUAGAGUUUGGGAGAGGUAGAGGGAACUCCUCGUGGAGCGGUGAAAUGCGUAGAGAUGAGGAAGAACACCAGUGGCGAAAGCGCUCUACUGGACCAUGACUGACACUGAGAGACGAAAGCUGAGGGAGCGAAAAGG
RNAcentral lists this ribosomal RNA (254 nucleotides) under uncultured bacterium. RNAcentral describes it as "partial 16S ribosomal RNA". It matches the Rfam family "Bacterial small subunit ribosomal RNA", at positions 524 to 776 of the family's 1533-position model. The record is from RNAcentral.